UCCCUCCUGCCGCCUAAUCCGCCAUUCCAAAUCGUUUCGUGGCACGCGUCGCAACAGAGCUUCGUCCGUUCGUUAAUUGCAGUUAAUUAGAAUAGUUUAUUCAACGUGUACCAUUAUUUUACAUACCGAUCGAACGUCGAAAAAGCGAUAUCCGCGGAAUGGGAGAGUACGACGUCUGGAUUUUCGUCUUCAAUUUUACUUAUUUACAAUGAGAAAUGGUGUUGGACACACGACGACGAGUGAUCGAAACAACAAGCACGCGGGGAAGCCAUUGCAAAGCUGACGUAACGCGCAUGCUCGACGAUACAGCUUCCUUGUUGCCGCUUAAUCCGCCAUUCUGAAUCAGUUCGUGGCACGUGUCCCAACCAAGCUUCGUCCUCUCGUUAAUUGCAGAAUGGAAGAGGUACGAUGUCCGGAUUAUCAAUUUUACUUACGUACAAUAAGAAGUGAUAUUCGAAACAGGACGACGAGUGGACGUAAAUUCUGUGAAUUCGUUCGUGAGCGUUAACGAUACAGUGUGCCCUGUGUUCCUAGAAAGAAGCAAGAUGGAUUCGGCUAGAGUUCAACAGAGUAGACGUCUUCCAUUUAAGUUUAUACAUUCAUUCUUCGAUUAAGCAGUGUUCUUUCAGCGAAACUUCUUUUAGUAAUUUGCCGUCAGAGUAUAUUUUUUGUUCGAUUGUACAUUUUUUGGGAAGUGCGUUUUAUAUACGUGGAAUAGUUGAUAAUUCGGAAUUCAUUCAAAUUGAUUAACGUUGAUGUAACAUUUCUUUAAUUUUACAUUAGUGGAUUUUACAUGGAUUCUUUCAACCUUCAUCGUCGUCAUGUGAUUAAUAAUCGACAUCAUCAGGAUAGGGAGGAGUUGUGCACGGUCGUCACCGCGCAGUUGAAUCUUUCUAGACGCAACCCACUUUUUAUCGAGCACUUGUUUAUGGUCGAGAUUUGUCUCGUACCAUUUUCUGUGCAUUUACGCUGGUUGCUCUGCCUUCGUCCAGCAUUAUAAAAUAACCGAGGACAUUCUACUCUCCUCCUUAUUUUUUAGACCUGCUUCAGAUGUCGUUAAUUGAUCUCACGUCGAGGACGAUCGAUGGGAAAAUCUAUGUACGCGAACGCGCUUAAUCUACAUUAUUUUAACGAGUCGACGUCCGUCUUGGAAUAUCACUGCGAAAUAAAAAUUGUAGACUUUUCGUUGAUAGUACAUGACAGAACGAAUACUGCUUAAAUCACGGAGUGGAUGUAUCAUUCGACGGAUCGUUUCCUGAUUGCUGUAAUGCGGUUGACAGUUCUUUAGCCAUCGAAAUGUUACAAGCACGUGGGGAAGCCAUUGCAAAGGUGACGUAAUGCGCAAGCGCAGCGGUCCACAGCCUCCUUGCUGCCUCAGAAUCCACCAUUUUGAAUAAUGAUUGGCACGUGUUAUGACCAAGCUUUUUUCUUGCAGGAUGGAAGAGGGCGUAGAUUCUGUAAAUUUGUUCGUCAGCGUUAACAACACAGUGUGGCCCAUGUUCCUAGAAAGAAGCAAGAUUGAUUUGGCUAGAGUUCAACAAAGUAGACGUCUUCCGUUUAAGUUUAUACAUUCAUUCUUCGAUUAAGCAGUGUUCUUUCAGCGAAACUUCUUUUAGUAAUUUGCCGUCAGAGUAUAUUUUUUGUUCGAUUGUACAUUUUUUGGGAAGUGCGUUUUAUAUACGUGGAAUAGUUGAUAAUUCGGAAUUCAUUCAAAUUGAUUAACGUUGAUGUAACAUUAUUUCUUUAAUUUUACAUUAGUGGAUUUUAUAUGGAUUCUUUCAACCUUCAUCGUCGUCAUGUGAUUAAUAAUCGACAUCAUCAGGAUAGGGAGGAGUUGUGCACGGUCGUCACCGCGCAGUUGAAUCUUUCUAGACGCAACCCACUUUUUAUCGAGCACUCGUUUAUGGUCGAGAUUUGUCUCGUACCAUUUUCUGUGCAUUUACGCUGGUUGCUCUGCCUUCGUCCAGCAUUAUAAAAUAACCGAGGACAUUCUACUCUCCUCCUUAUUUUUUAGACCUGCUUCAGAUGUCGUUAAUUGAUCUCACGUCGAGGACGAUCGAUGGGAAAAUCUAUGUACGCGAACGCGCUUAAUCUACAUUAUUUUAACGAGUCGACGUCCGUCUUGGAAUAUCACUGCGAAAUAAAAAUUGUAGACUUUUCGUUGAUAGUACAUGACAGAACGAAUACUGCUUAAAUCACGGAGUGGAUGUAUCAUUCGACGGAUCGUUUCCUGAUUGCUGUAAUGCGGUUGACAGUUCUUUAGCCCACGUGGGGAAGCCAUUGCAAAGGUGACGUAAUGCGCAAGCGCGGCGGUCCACAGCCCCCUUACUGCCUCAGAAUCCUCGUUGAUUGCAGAAUGGAAGAGGUAGGACGUCCAGAUUUUCGUCAUCAAUUUUACUUAUUUACAAUAAUAAAUGGUGUUCGACACACAACAACGACUGGAUGUAGACGUGAUUUCUUUCGUUAUUGUUGACAUUACAUCGUGGCUAGUUUUCUUAAAAAUAAGCAAGAUGAAUUUAGUUACAUUCGAACAGAAUUGACAUCUUGACAGUACGAACGCUACUUACAUCGUGGAAGGAAGCGUUCCUUGAUCUAACAACCAGCUAAGGAAUCAUUAUUUUCGAUGAUAGAAAGAAAGAAAUAUAAAGUUCAAAAUUUUCGUCAUCAGUUUUACUUAUCUAUGAUAAGCAAUGGUAUUGGACACAGGACGACAACUGAUAAGCAAUAGUUGACAUAUAUUAUUAUUUAUUUUCACGUUACCCUUUACGAUAACGUUUAGCUAAUUCUACAUUUAUUUUUUCAGGUUAUAGGCAUUGCGAUUUCGUCCGUUAUUGUUAACAAUGCAUCGUGGCCCGUGUUCCUUGAAAUAAGCAUGGUGAAUUUAGUUACAGUCGAACAGAAUUGACAUCUGUUUACACAUUCAUUCUUCGAUUAAACAGUGUUCUGUUAACGAUACUUUUACAUCCGAGUAUAUUUUUCUUCCGAUUACAUUUUUCAUUUAAUAUACAUCGAGUAGCUGAUAAUUCAAAGUUUAUUCAAGUUGGAUAACGUUAUCGUAACUUCAUUCCUUUAAUCGAUGAAAAAAUUUAUUUAAGCGAACGCGUCUUAAAUAACACUAUUUCAACGAAUCAUAUGGUCUCUCUUGAAAUAUCGCUGCGAAAUAGAAACGAUAGGCUUUUCGUCGAUAGUAUACGACAGAACGAACACUGUUUAAAUCGAAAUAUAUGUGUUAAUUGGGUCGUGGAUUCCCGGAUAGCAGUUCCUAAGUAUCACGCUCGUUAGAGCAAGAUGGUUCUUUAUUCUCUUGUCUGAUGAGGAAUACUUAACAUUUUGAUAUUUUUAUUAUAACACUAUUUUUAUUAACUUUGUUAAUUUUUUUUUUUUUUUUCUUUUAGGAAGCCUAUGUUGUAAUUUCGUUCUACUGUUUGGAUACGGAUAAAAGAACAAUUCAACGCUCUAGUUGGAAAUGGUCUUUGUAAAAUUGCGACUCAUGGAAAGCCUCCUUCCUCUAGGAUCUAUCAUGAAUAUGAAGAUGAGAAAGGAAAGGAAAGGAGCCAGGAAGAUGCGAUGGAAGCAAUAACGAAGGAUGGAAUCUUGAAGAAUCUUCCAUUGGAUUAAAAUCAGCAGGAAAACAACGCUUCCUUCAUUUUACCGAACCGAAAGAAGACUCGCCUCUCCUUCGUGCGUAUUGCUUCUUUAAAUCUGCUUAAGCUCCAACGUUCUACGUAAUUCUCGGCGAUUUUGCGCACCCCUAAGCGUUUCUGCGUGACACCCUAAGCGAUCCUGCGAUACCCUAAGCGUUUCUGCGAUACCCUGAGCGUUUCUGCGAUACCCUGAGCGUUUCUGCGAUACCCUGAGCGUUUCUGCGAUACCCUGAGCGUUUCUGCGACACCCUGAGGGUUUCUGCGACACCCUGAGCGUUUCUGCGAUACCCUGAGCGUUUCUGCGAUACCCUGAGCGUUUCUGCGAUACCCUGAGCGUUUCUGCGAUACCCUGAGCGUUUCUGCGACACCCUGAGGGUUUCUGCGACACCCUGAGCGUUUCUGCGACACCCCCGAGCGUUUCUGCGACACCCCCGAGCGUUUCUGCGACACCCCCGAGCGUUUCUGCGACACCCCCGAGCGUUUCUGCGACACCCCCGAGCGUUUCUGCGACACCCCGAGCGUUUCUGCGACACCCCGAGCGUUUCUGCGACACCCCGAGCGUUUCUGCGACACCCCGAGCGUUUCUGCGACACCCCGAGCGUUUCUGCGACACCCCGAGCGUUUCUGCGACAUCCCGAGCGUUUCUGCGACACUACCUUGAGCGUACCUUGGAUACCCUAAGCGAUCUUGCAUGAUACCCUGAGCGUUUCUGCGACACCCUCAGCGUACCUGCGCAAUCCCUAACGUCGUAUUCUGUUCAAUUCUCAGCGUUUUGCGUAACCACCAGCAUUUCAAACGAUUCCCCUGCUUUAGUCUUGCGCAUAAUUGCGAUGUUUUACGAAAAAUUACAAGAUAGAAACAAAUUUGUUAGAAUCAUUGUUAUAAUAUUGUUGGAGUUUAUAGAGCGUUGAAAAAAUGAAACUUCAAUUGGAAGGUAGUACAUCAGUUGAUUUUUUCUUUCCGGAAUGUUAACAUAAAAUUGUUUUAUACUUCACAAGAUAUUACGUGCGGUGCAACGUUUAAGCGGUUGUAUUAUUGUUUAAAUCUUAUUUUAUAUCGACCAAUCGUAUAUUAUAGAUUCUUUAAAUAAUUGUAAAGUGAUAGAAAGCAUACAUAAACUUGGGUGCGUUAAGAAAACUAUUAUUUAAGUAUAAUUUUAUAUCGAACAAACGUAUAUUGUAAACCGUUUAAAUAAUUAUAUAGUGAUAAGAAGCGUUUAUAAACAAUGGUGCGUUGAGAAAAAUAUUUAAAUAUAAUUUUAACUCGAGUAAACGUAUAGUAUAGAAUGUUCAAAUAAUUAGUUAAACUAAUAGAAAGUAUACAUAAAUUCUGAUGCGUUGAGAGAAUUAUCGUUUAAUUAUAAUUUUAUACCGAACAAACGUAUAUUGUAAAAUUGUUUAAAUAAUUGUAAAGUGAUAGAAAGCAUACAUAAAUUUGAUGCAUUAAGAGAAUUUUAGACCACCGUUGGGCGUAUCGAAAACCGUCGUCCAGUAUUUAUCCGUAACAACAAACAUCUUUUUAGACAAUUCUUAGGAUAUCGCGUGACCCCAGCUUCGCGAAUAAUUGAAAUGCUCAUAUACUAAAAAAGAAAAAAUAUUAUUUUUAUCAUUGUAAUAAGAAAGCGUCGAAAAAAAGGAAGGCAGUAUGUAAGCAGAUUUCUGUUCUGCGAAACGUUCGAUUAAAAUUAUUUUCUACGUACUACGAGCGGUAUAAAGCUUGAGCGGCGGGGUUGUAUUCUGUAAAUAUUAGUUUGAUACUACCGAGCGUACAUAUGUAGCGUACAUUGCUUAAAUGAUUGUAAAACGACAAAAAAUAAAAAUGAUCUAGGUUUA
Vespula vulgaris is the source of this 5476-nucleotide long non-coding RNA. RefSeq lists it as uncharacterized. The record is from RefSeq and is a predicted model, not a curated record. NCBI's taxonomy places the organism in Eukaryota, Metazoa, Arthropoda, Insecta, Hymenoptera, Vespidae. The transcript has 12 exons.